CAGAGUUCCAGAAGCAACCAGAAGUUUUGGUGGCUCUGCAUCCGGACAUCUCUCUGCAGGGAACUUUGGGGAUUGCAACAGUCACGAACCUCGUGCCCAAAAAUCUCCAAACGAGAGGCUUCUCCUGCCAGCUCUGCCAGGGCAUCCCAUGUACAGAGAUCCCACAGUGGAGAGCUGCCUUCAGAAAGCUUCACCCCAAGGAUGUGUAACUUGAUGCAGUAUUGACCAGACAUAUUUAGGAGGAGAAAACAGGAUUUGCUUCUUACCUAAAAGAAAAUAUAGCUGCCCAUUCAACAAGAAAUGAAUCCUGAAUCCUGGUCUCUCUGGAAAACCAAACCAACCAAAUCAGCCUCCUGCUUUUCAUUUACAUUCCAUUAAGGCUUGUUAACUUAACCUCAGCUCCCAGAGCUCUGGAGCAUUCUAUAGGUCGGACUGAGUGCUUUGUUAACUACCUUGAUGAACCAAUCAAGGCUUGGCUAAGUCAGAGAAGAAGCAGACAAACCCUGGGAGACAUCUGUACAAGAAAAGGCAUAAUCUGGACGCUGAGCUUUGAAGGAAUUUCACACUUGGAAAAAACGAGAGGCAGAUUCGCCUGCAUGAGGUUGGGGUGAGCUGGCAAGCUUCUUGUUUAACCCUACAUUUCCUCCAAGACAUCCUCACACCUCCGUGUCCCCACAUCCCCAUGUCCACACCAUCCUGGGUUCCUGGCUCACACUGCUGCCCACAGGCAGGUUGAGCUGAGAUUUACCAGUUAGACUGUCCAGACUAUACCUGAGUAAAUCAAAGUUGCCUUACCUCCUGUUAACUAACCUGACCACUUACAGAACUGGUAUUAUCAUUAUGUCCAAGCACUAUGGGAUGCUUCUGUGCUUUUAUCAUUGCUUUUCCCUGAAGCUAUAAACGAGAAACUAAGCCUUGAGAAUGACAAACAGCUGAUCCUCAAUUGACCCUUUGGACUGCUGACCCUAAUGGCAG
RNAcentral lists this long non-coding RNA (975 nucleotides) under Gallus gallus (chicken). RNAcentral's name for it is "lncRNA (ENSGALG00010018890.1)". Lineage: Eukaryota; Metazoa; Chordata; Aves; Galliformes; Phasianidae. The record is from RNAcentral.